RNAcentral lists this unclassified non-coding RNA (81 nucleotides) under Algibacter luteus. RNAcentral's name for it is "Arenitalea lutea Flavo-1 RNA". Lineage: Bacteria; Pseudomonadati; Bacteroidota; Flavobacteriia; Flavobacteriales; Flavobacteriaceae. The record is from RNAcentral.
UUUUAACAGAAACGCCCGCGUUAAGGAUAGCAGUGGAAAGCCCACAGGCACGAGGACUUGUAACGAAUAGCCUGACCCCGC